RNAcentral lists this long non-coding RNA (994 nucleotides) under Salvia miltiorrhiza (redroot sage). Its description in RNAcentral is "long non-coding RNA (SMIL_LNC008390)". Lineage: Eukaryota; Viridiplantae; Streptophyta; Magnoliopsida; Lamiales; Lamiaceae. The record is from RNAcentral.
UGUACAUAAGAAAGCAAAGUUAUAUUUUGGUAUACCAUCUCUCGACCUUUCCUUUUUCUUUGCAGUGAAAGACCAAGAACUACAGAUCCUAACUGUGUCACGAGCAUUGGUGAAGAAUGCAUAUUCAAAGCUUUAAAAGGUACCUCACAUAGUUGCACUGCAGUUAUGUCUUUCAUGCCUUGCUGAUACCAAAUUACAAAGGCCAGAUAAUGAGGGUUGCUGCUGCUUUCAUCUAUCUUAAUCGUAAUAUUUUUGUUCGGAUAGCUGCAUGAAAUCCUGCACAUUUACAUAAAUGGAGCGAAUAUCAUUAUCAUUCCAAUUGGAUGUGAUAUAUAUUCUUUUGUGAAGCUCUGUAAACUUACCGUUUAUAUUCAAUAUCUAUCACGCCAAAUGCUAAAAGAGAUGCACCUGCAUCCGCGUUCUGAGCCAUUCGCCCAAAAGCACGGCUGCUCAGAAUGAAGUCGGUAUUAUGGCUGGAACCGUGGUCAGUUAUGACGACAUUCACUCCUUUGUCUGAACAGUACUUGCUAUUAGUACACCUGACCUGAAAAAAUACGAGAUAUAUAUUUCACGGUUGAGUUUCCACUUCUCAUAAAAAUCGUGUUCAUUUCUCCUUUAGAUGAUAUCUACCUGGUAGCAAGCACCGCAACCUAAUCCAUCUCGAUAGAGAUCUGAUGCUGCUGAUACGUCUCCAUUGUUAAUUGUGCCCCAAACGUACCAAAGCCACAUCGUCCAGCUGCAUUUUUUUGUGAGAUUUGAUAGAGCUAUAUCAAUAAAAUCAUAGAUUUGCAGCAGAUUCACUUUAGCAAAAUGCAUAAUAUGUUGAAAUGAUUCACUGCAUUGCAUUAUGCUGUUGGUAUUAAAUGAUUAAACUCACUUUCUGUGCCUUUCUCAUCAGAAUUCGGGUAGUAAGACGCCCUCGACUGCGUGAAACAAUCCGUGCACGGAGCAGCAUCCCCGAGAGAUUCAAGAGGAAAAGUGUCGCUGCAAGAAG